Molecule: long non-coding RNA, 1352 nt
Organism: Dromaius novaehollandiae (emu)
Lineage: Eukaryota; Metazoa; Chordata; Aves; Casuariiformes; Dromaiidae
Source: Ensembl
CUCUCAGCCUGUUGGCGUUUCUCUCCCUCAUUGUUUUGACAAGGAGACAAGCCCUACAUUUGCCUGAUUUCUGAAGUGUGGUGAGGAGCUGGCCAUGGAGCUGCAAACAGAUGGCUGUGGAGAAGUGAGAAGCUGGCGGAGGGCUCUUCUGUCCUGGGACAUUCGAGCAAGUGGGGUCCUCACGGAAGACCACAUGCAAAGCUUGGCUGGGUCUUCGCAGAUACCAAACAAGGAAAGCACACCUGGAAGCCGCAAGAGAAUGCAACAUUUCCAAAUGUGUUUUCAUUCUGUGUUGGAACAAAAUGAAAAUCUUUUGCCAAAAGGAGAGAGAAUGAACAGAAGAGAGAGUUGAAUAAUGUUACAGAAGGCUUGUGCGAAAAACACAACUGGUCAAGAAGAUAUAAACAACAUUUAAUUGGGAAGAGUAUGGUCAUAUAAGAACACAACAUAGCAUGAUUGGGAGCAGGUAGCUGGACUGCAAAAUAUCCACUCAGCUAAAUUGAUACCCUAAGUGGCGAUCUGGAGGAAGCCCACAGGCCCAAUUUUCCUGAUGAAUAUGGGGAAGAACUUUGUCAUUCUGCAGUGGGGAAUUAGACAAGAAGGAUCCAGGAAAGGAUCUGGGCAAAAGUGCUGUAAAACAGAAUUAAGAGGCAUGAGUAGCCUUUGGAAUAGUACUGUUUUUCUUAAAUUUCAAGAGAAAAAUCUUUUUGGUUUUCCUUUAGGAAGAAACUGACUUUUGUUGACAUAUUAUAUAGUCAAACAAAGACCAAAGACCAAACUGUAAAACAGGAGUCACUUUAAUAUUUAUAGGGUUUCCCUGGCAGUAUACUGCUUUACCUCAGUGUUUGAUGCCAAAACUUCUUUAGUCAAUGCAAUUCCAUAACACCUGUGUUGAGAUUUGCUAACCCAUAGAAGUAGCAUGAACCCAUUUCCCUGUUGCCUUUUCCAGGCAGAUUUCUACAUGUUUGCUAAGCCUUGCACAGCACCCACCUUGUACUGCUAUAGGAAUUACUUAUUAUAAAGCGGUGGCUGUAUUUAAAGGUAUUUUAGAAAGGUUUUCUUCAAAUCUAAAGCCCACUCAAUUGUCCCUUAAAUGAGGGCCUAAUUGUGUUGUAAGGAGCCUGUUGUCAUCUAUUCUUCCCUUUUCGAUGGUCCACAGACGAGUUGGAAACUACUGCAGUCCCCAGGUCCCUGGGACGUUGUUGUGCCUUUCAUUGGAUGGGUAAGGGGUGAUGCUGUCCUUCGGUGGCAGCAAGGGUGGGCGGUGUCCCGGUGUCCCUGGAUAUGUCCUCCCUGUGUGUGAGGGGCAGGACUAUCCCACAGGCUCCCCUUGGGCUGGGGGACUCGCCAUC